Molecule: ribosomal RNA, 274 nt
Filed under: uncultured bacterium
Lineage: Bacteria
Description: partial 16S ribosomal RNA
Rfam family: Bacterial small subunit ribosomal RNA
Source: RNAcentral
CUACGUAGGGGGCUAGCGUUGUCCGGAAUCAUUGGGCGUAAAGAGCGUGUAGGCGGUUUAAUAGGUCCGGUGUGAAAACUCGAGGCUCAACCUCGAGAGGUCGUCGGAAACCAUUGAACUAGAGUCCGGAAGAGGAGAGUGGAAUUCCUGGUGUAGCGGUGAAAUGCGCAGAUAUCAGGAAGAACACCGAUGGCGAAGGCAGCUCUCUGGGACGGUACUGACGCUAAGACGCGAAAGCGUGGGGAGCGAACAGGAUUAGAUACCCCGGUAGUCC